GCCUACGGGAGGCAGCAGUAGGGAAUCUUCCACAAUGGACGAAAGUCUGAUGGAGCAACGCCGCGUGGAGGAUGAAGGUUUUAGGAUUGUAAACUCCUUUUGUUAGAGAAGAUUAUGACGGUAUCUAACGAAUAAGCACCGGCUAACUCCGUGCCAGCAGCCGCGGUAAUACGGAGGGUGCAAGCGUUACUCGGAAUCACUGGGCGUAAAGAGUGCGUAGGCGGGGGAAUAAGUCAGAUGUGAAAUCCUGUAGCUUAACUACAGAACUGCAUUUGAAACUGUUACUCUGGAGUGUGGGAGAGGUA
RNAcentral lists this ribosomal RNA (305 nucleotides) under uncultured bacterium. RNAcentral describes it as "bacterial SSU rRNA". It matches the Rfam family "Bacterial small subunit ribosomal RNA", at positions 337 to 659 of the family's 1533-position model. The record is from RNAcentral.